UUAAAUUUAUUGCACGUUUGUUGUUUUUUGAAGUGAAGGUGAAAAUGAAUCUAUAUACUGAAAAACAAAAACCGUCUUGCUUAAAAGUCUACUGACCCUCAUCGGUCAUCCUUUGGUUUCAUUUUUUCAUACGUUAACACUAAAUCUCAGCUACAACUAUGUACAAAGAUUCGAAGAAAAUUGGGAACACACAUCGGAUGGUUAUAACAUGAUAUUUUCAGUCGCUCAAGCCCAAGGCUCGGUUUAUCAAAUUUCUGGCACAGUUCACCUUUAGAGAGAAAGAAUGGGAAGAGUUGAAAUACAGGAACCUAUCAUUGCUAGUGGGCUUUCUGUACUAAUUGGUCGUUAAUCUGUAAUCAUUUCUUUCGAUGACCAAAUCCGAGUAUGGAAGUUUACCAUUGUUCUCCUCCUCCACUGUAAACUUCAUUUUCGAUUCAUUUUCACCUUCGCUUCAAAAAAACAACAAACAUGUGCAAUAAAUUUA
Molecule: long non-coding RNA, 484 nt
Organism: Cimex lectularius (bed bug)
Lineage: Eukaryota; Metazoa; Arthropoda; Insecta; Hemiptera; Cimicidae
Exons: 3
Source: RefSeq, a predicted model, not a curated record